CUACGGGGGGCAGCAGUUAGGGAAAUUUUACAAUGCACGAAAGUGUGAUAGAGUGAGCCAGAGUGUUUAUCAUUUUAUGAUAAACUUUUUUCUAAUGUAAAAAAUUAGACGAAUAAGGACUGGGCAAGACCGGUGCCAGCCGCCGCGGUAAUACCGCGGUCCAAGUCGCAGCCAUGAUUAUUGGGUCUAAAACAUCCGUAGCUUGUUUAAUAAGUUUCUUGUGAAAUCUCACGUCUUAAGCGUGAGCGUGCAAGAAAUACUGUUAGACUAGAGACUGGAAGAAGUGAAAAGUACAGUUGAGGUAGUGGUAAAAUACGUUAAUCUUGAUUGGACUAACAAUAGCGAAGGCAUUUCACUAGUACAGAUCUGACAGUGAGGGAUGAAGGCUAGGGUCGCAAAACGGAUUAGAUACCCCAGUAGUC
This 422-nucleotide ribosomal RNA is filed under the name uncultured archaeon. Its description in RNAcentral is "partial 16S ribosomal RNA". It matches the Rfam family "Archaeal small subunit ribosomal RNA", at positions 323 to 746 of the family's 1478-position model. The record is from RNAcentral.